Molecule: ribosomal RNA, 467 nt
Filed under: uncultured bacterium
Lineage: Bacteria
Description: bacterial SSU rRNA
Rfam family: Bacterial small subunit ribosomal RNA
Source: RNAcentral
UAAGGAAUAUUGGUCAAUGGGGGCAACCCUGAACCAGCCAUGCCGCGUGCAGGAUGAAGGCCCUAUGGGUCGUAAACUGCUUUUAUACCGGAGAAAACCCGAGUACGUGUACUCGGUUGAUGGUAUGGUAAGAAUAAGCAUCGGCUAACUUCGUGCCAGCAGCCGCGGUAAGACGAAGGAUGCAAGCGUUAUCCGGAUUCAUUGGGUUUAAAGGGUGCGUAGGCGGACUUGUAAGUCAGUGGUGAAAUCCCCGAGCUUAACUUGGGAACUGCCGUUGAUACUAUCUGUCUUGAAUACUAUGGAGGUAAGCGGAAUAUGUCAUGUAGCGGUGAAAUGCUUAGAUAUGACAUAGAACACCAAUUGCGAAGGCAGCUUGCUACACAGUUAUUGACGCUGAGGCACGAAAGCGUGGGGAUCAAACAGGAUUAGAUACCCUCGUAGUCCCUGAGCGGGCUGGCAAGGCGCAU